AACUUGGACCUGGCUGUCGGGAGGCGAGGUUGAAGCCUUGGCCCACCCCACAAGAGGGCGGGACCGAGAGACGGAAGGAAGCAGGACAUGGAGGGAACGGGAAGGAAACAGAGGCAGGACUGCUGGCUGGGAAGGGUCCAGGGGGAGGGAGAAACCACUUCUCCUUCCCUUUCUGAUGCUAGCAAGAUUAUGACUGCAGAGCGGGGCUGCACAGGGCAGAACUUCCCAAAAAUCAGGAGGAGCACGUAUCCCCAACAGAGGUUGCAGUCCCCAAAUCAUGUGGUCACCUCCCACCUCCUCUGCCCACACUGGAGCUUCGUCUGCAGUGAGCUCUGGCCUCGGGCCCUUGGGGACCCAGCAGUGCCCCUUCCUCCAGAUAUCAGGGCAAAAGAGAGGCAGAGAAACCGGAGAGAUCCAAAGACAAGUGGCAAGCGACAGCAAGAGAUGCGGCGUCACCCUGUGCUAUGGAUGAAGAAACCAAGGCGCAAGAGCUCAGGAGACGGAGAUUGGGCAAGGUUAAGGAACAUGGCCAAGGUCACACAGGCGGCCACACCGGAGCUCGGACUCGGACGCCAUCAGGUCUGCAUCUGGGUCGCCCGGCUCCUACGUCCUACAUUCAUCAGUCAGCCAUGUGGUAUGCCAUUUCGUGGAUGCAUUGUGAUUUCAGCAGCCAAUCUGGAACUGGGGUGUUCUCAGAUCAUGUCUCAUUAAAGACACACGAAUAGGUGGAAUACAGAGGAUUUGGUGUGUCGGGCGGUGAAAUGACUGCAUAUGUGACCACGAUGGUGGAUACAUGUCACACAUUUGUCGGAGAAGAUAGAACGCCAAGAGUGAAUCCUAACGUACACUAUGCACUCUGGGUGAUAAUGAUGUGUCUGUACAGAUUUGUCAGCUGUAACAAGUGUCUCACUCUGGUGCGGGAUGCUGACAGUGUGGACACGGGGACAGGGAGUGUAUGAGAACUGUCUGUAUUUCCCACUCAAGUUUUCCGUGACCCUAAAACUGUCUGAAAAAUGAAGUUUUUUGUUAAUAAAAAUCAAUCGAUCACGCAAGUGUAAAUUUAA
This is a long non-coding RNA of Lynx canadensis (Canada lynx), 1064 nucleotides long. RefSeq lists it as uncharacterized. The record is from RefSeq and is a predicted model, not a curated record. The transcript has 3 exons. NCBI's taxonomy places the organism in Eukaryota, Metazoa, Chordata, Mammalia, Carnivora, Felidae.